RNAcentral lists this transfer RNA (77 nucleotides) under Blastochloris viridis. RNAcentral describes it as "tRNA-Gly". Lineage: Bacteria; Pseudomonadati; Pseudomonadota; Alphaproteobacteria; Hyphomicrobiales; Blastochloridaceae. The record is from RNAcentral.
UUCGCGCAGAGCCGCGCUGUCAUGAGCGAUCUGCUGCCGCCGGAUCUCGAUGGCGCGUUCGAACUGGGCGCGCGACA